UACGUAGGAUCCGAGCGUUGUCCGGAAUUACUGGGCAUAAAGGGAGCGUAGGCGGUUUUGUGCGUCAGAGGUGAAAUCCCACGGCUUAACCGUGGAACUGCCUUUGAUACGGCAAAACUUGAGUAUGAGAGAGGCGAGUAGAAUUCCAGGUGUAGCGGUGAAAUGCGUAGAUAUCUGGAGGAAUACCAGUGGAGAAGUCGGCUCGCUGGCUCAUAACUGACGCUGAGGCUCGAAAGCGUGGGGAUCAAACAGG
RNAcentral lists this ribosomal RNA (253 nucleotides) under uncultured bacterium. RNAcentral's name for it is "partial 16S ribosomal RNA". It matches the Rfam family "Bacterial small subunit ribosomal RNA", at positions 524 to 776 of the family's 1533-position model. The record is from RNAcentral.